This 487-nucleotide ribosomal RNA is filed under the name uncultured bacterium. Its description in RNAcentral is "bacterial SSU rRNA". It matches the Rfam family "Bacterial small subunit ribosomal RNA", at positions 30 to 507 of the family's 1533-position model. The record is from RNAcentral.
AUUGAACGCUGGCGGCAUGCUUUACACAUGCAAGUCGAACGGCAGCACGGGCUUCGGCCUGGUGGCGAGUGGCGAACGGGUGAGUAAUGCAUCGGAACGUGCCCAUUUGUGGGGGAUAACUACGCGAAAGCGUGGCUAAUACCGCAUACGCCCUGAGGGGGAAAGCGGGGGAUUCUUCGGAACCUCGCGCAAUUGGAGCGGCCGAUGUCAGAUUAGCUUGUUGGUGAGGUAAAGGCUCACCAAGGCGACGAUCUGUAGCGGGUCUGAGAGGAUGAUCCGCCACACUGGGACUGAGACACGGCCCAGACUCCUACGGGAGGCAGCAGGCGGGAAUAUUGGGCAAUGGACGAAAGUCUGACCCAGCGACGCCGCGUGAGGGAUGAAGCUUCUCGGAGCGUAAACCUCAAACGGAUAGGGACGAAAAGCCUAUCGGCUAAUAUCCGGUAGGCCUGACGGUACCUGUUACGAAGCUCCGGCUAACUCCGUG